Numida meleagris (helmeted guineafowl) is the source of this 568-nucleotide long non-coding RNA. RefSeq lists it as uncharacterized. Lineage: Eukaryota; Metazoa; Chordata; Aves; Galliformes; Numididae. The record is from RefSeq and is a predicted model, not a curated record. The transcript has 3 exons.
UUCUGUGAUUCUGUGAUUUGUUGUUUAACAGACUUAACAUACCAAGGAAAGAGGUACUUUUGUCAGGUGCCAAACUGUGCUAGUAUAUUGGCUCUACGAUAGGAGUGCAUCUGCAAUGCUUGAAUUUCAGCUACUCCUCACUCCCACAAGACAGGAGAGGCUGCACUUGAUAGUACCAGUGGGACUGCAGUUCAUCCAGCACACUCCUUCCUUCCUUUCUCCAUAAAUCUCCCCCUUCUUCCCUUUCUUCCUCAGCCAUGAAGGACCUGAAGCAUACUCUAGUUGAUCAGUUUGUGGAGAAUUAACUUCUGGAACAGACUCAAUGAUUCUUCUUGAUGAGAAUAGCAAGAAAGGGAAGUGUGAUGGGUAUUUCAGCUAUCUUCUGGAGAUCAGAUCAAGCACACACCUCGUAAAAUAAGUCUUUUCAUUUUAUAAGUAAAGAAGUCUGCAAGAAGCAGUUACCUUUGACAGAGAUUUUAUGGACAUCUGGAAACUCCUUAAUUCUCAGCAUAGCUUUCAGAGGUCUCUAGCUUAACACACUAAGGACAAGGAUGCAUUGAAGAUGUGC